This 253-nucleotide ribosomal RNA is filed under the name uncultured bacterium. RNAcentral's name for it is "partial 16S ribosomal RNA". It matches the Rfam family "Bacterial small subunit ribosomal RNA", at positions 524 to 776 of the family's 1533-position model. The record is from RNAcentral.
GACAGAGGAGCCAAGCGUUGUCCGGAUUGACUGGGCGUAAAGCGCACGCAGGCGGAUGCGCGCGUGGGGUGUGAAAUCUGGCCGCUUAACGGCCAGGCGCCAUCCCAUACGGCGCGUCUGGAGUGAUGCAGAGGUCGAUGGAAUUGCCGGUGUAGUGGUGAAAUGCGUAGAGAUCGGCAGGAACACCCAAGGGGAAGCCAGCUGGCUGGGCAUUUGCUGACGCUCAUGUGCGACAGCGUGGGGAGCGAACUGG